GAUGAACGCUGGCGGCGUGCCUAAUACAUGCAAGUCGAGCGAACGGACGAGAAGCUUGCUUCUCUGAUGUUAGCGGCGGACGGGUGAGUAACACGUGGAUAACCUACCUAUAAGACUGGGAUAACUUCGGGAAACCGGAGCUAAUACCGGAUAAUAUUUUGAACCGCAUGGUUCAAAAGUGAAAGACGGUCUUGCUGUCACUUAUAGAUGGAUCCGCGCUGCAUUAGCUAGUUGGUAAGGUAACAGCUUACCAAGGCAACGAUGCAUAGCCGACCUGAGAGGGUGAUCGGCCACACUGGAACUGAGACACGGUCCAGACUCCUACGGGAGGCAGCAGUAGGGAAUCUUCCGCAAUGGGCGAAAGCCUGACGGAGCAACGCCGCGUGAGUGAUGAAGGUCUUCGGAUCGUAAAACUCUGUUAUUAGGGAAGAACGUAUGUGUAAGUAACUGUGCACAUCUUGACGGUACCUAAUCAGAAAGCCACGGCUAACUACGUG
This 497-nucleotide ribosomal RNA is filed under the name uncultured bacterium. Its description in RNAcentral is "partial 16S ribosomal RNA". It matches the Rfam family "Bacterial small subunit ribosomal RNA", at positions 28 to 507 of the family's 1533-position model. The record is from RNAcentral.